CCCUUAGAUGUUCUGGGCCGCACGCGCGCUACACUGAUGCAUUCAACGAGUUUCUUCCUGGUCCGAGAGGAAUGGGUAACCUUUUGAAAGUGCAUCGUGAUAGGGAUAGACUAUUGCAAUUAUUGGUCUUCAACGAGGAAUUCCUAGUAGACGUAGUUCAUCAGACUGCAUCGAUUACGUCCCUGCCCUUUGUACACACCGCCCGUCGCUCCUACCGAUUGAAUGAUCCGAUGAAUAUCAUGGAUUGAGGAUGCAAGCAGGUUCGCCUGUCUUCAUCUUCGAGAAGUGAAGUAAAUCUUAUCAUUUAGAGGAAGGAGAAGUCGUAACA
RNAcentral lists this ribosomal RNA (328 nucleotides) under uncultured eukaryote. RNAcentral's name for it is "partial 18S ribosomal RNA". It matches the Rfam family "Eukaryotic small subunit ribosomal RNA", at positions 1470 to 1796 of the family's 1831-position model. The record is from RNAcentral.